CCUACGGGAGGCAGCAGUGAGGAAUAUUGGUCAAUGGACGAGAGUCUGAACCAGCCAAGUAGCGUGAAGGAUGACUGCCCUAUGGGUUGUAAACUUCUUUUAUAAAGGAAUAAAAUGUUCCACGUGUGGGAUUUUGUAUGUACCAUAUGAAUAAGGAUCGGCUAACUCCGUGCCAGCAGCCGCGGUAAUACGGAGGAUCCGAGCGUUAUCCGGAUUUAUUGGGUUUAAAGGGAGCGUAGGUGGAUUGUUAAGUCAGUUGUGAAAGUUUGUGGCUCAACCGUAAAAUUGCAGUUGAAACUGGCAGUCUUGAGUACAGUAGAGGUGGGCGGAAUUCGUGGUGUAGCGGUGAAAUGCUUAGAUAUCACGAAGAACUCCGAUUGCGAAGGCAGUUCACUGGACUGCAACUGACACUGAGGCUCGAAAGUGUGGGUAUCAAACAGGAUUAGAUACCCGUGUAGUC
Molecule: ribosomal RNA, 460 nt
Filed under: uncultured bacterium
Lineage: Bacteria
Description: partial 16S ribosomal RNA
Rfam family: Bacterial small subunit ribosomal RNA
Source: RNAcentral